Molecule: small nucleolar RNA, 72 nt
Organism: Bufo bufo (common toad)
Lineage: Eukaryota; Metazoa; Chordata; Amphibia; Anura; Bufonidae
Product: small nucleolar RNA SNORD101
Exons: 1
Source: RefSeq, a predicted model, not a curated record
GCUUGAAUGAUGAGUUGUAUUAUGUCGGAUACCCCUUCACUCUGUAUGAGUGAGAAAAUCUAACUGACAAGC